This 486-nucleotide ribosomal RNA is filed under the name uncultured bacterium. RNAcentral's name for it is "partial 16S ribosomal RNA". It matches the Rfam family "Bacterial small subunit ribosomal RNA", at positions 30 to 507 of the family's 1533-position model. The record is from RNAcentral.
AUUGAACGCUGGCGGCAUGCCUUACACAUGCAAGUCGAACGGCAGCACGGGUGCUUGCACCUGGUGGCGAGUGGCGAACGGGUGAGUAAUACAUCGGAACAUGUCCUGUAGUGGGGGAUAGCCCGGCGAAAGCCGGAUUAAUACCGCGUACGAUCCACGGAUGAAAGCGGGGGACCUUCGGGCCUCGCGCUAUAGGGUUGGCCGAUGGCUGAUUAGCUAGUUGGUGGGGUAAAGGCCUACCAAGGCGACGAUCAGUAGCUGGUCUGAGAGGACGACCAGCCACACUGGGACUGAGACACGGCCCAGACUCCUACGGGAGGCAGCAGUGGGGAAUUUUGGACAAAGGGCGAAAGCCUGAUCCAGCAAUGCCGCGUGUGUGAAGAAGGCCUUCGGGUUGUAAAGCACUUUUGUCCGGAAAGAAAUCCUUGGCUCUAAUGCAGUCGGGGGAUGACGGUACCGGAAGAAUAAGCACCGGCUAACUACGUG